Molecule: ribosomal RNA, 407 nt
Filed under: uncultured bacterium
Lineage: Bacteria
Description: partial 16S ribosomal RNA
Rfam family: Bacterial small subunit ribosomal RNA
Source: RNAcentral
GACGAACGCUGGCGGCGUGCCUAACACAUGCAAGUAGACCAGAUAUGCGAAAGGGUGAGUAAUGCCUAGGAACCUGCCUGGUAGUGGGGGGUAACGACCGGAAACGGGGGCUAAUACCGCAUACUAUCAGAUGAGCAGAGGUCGGAUUAGCUAGUUGGUGGGGUAAAGUCCUACCAAGGCGGCGAACCUUAACUGGUCUGAGAGGAUGAUCAGUCACACUGGACCUGAGACCCGGUCCAUACUCCUACGGGAGGCAGCAGUGGGGAAUAUUGGCCAAUGGGCGAAAGCCUGCUCCAGCCAGGCCGCGUGUUGGAAGAAGGUCUUCGGUUUGUAAAGCACUUUAAGUUGGGAGGCGUUACCAACAGAAUAAGCACCGGCUAACUUCGUGCCAGCAGCCGCGGUAAUUC